AAAAUUACCGUGGCUAGUUUUGUUUCGGGGCCUUUGUUACUUGAGUAAGUACGCCUGAAGGGGUAUCUUAAAACCUAGCGCCCUAAGGUCUUAUAUGGUCUGGGAGUCGUUGGUCGAAAGCUCGCUAAGGGGUGACACUGUUAGCCUAAUGGAAUGAGACAUUGCACAGUCACGGUUAAAAAUAAAAGUAAAAAAAAAACAACAAUAAAACGGGAAAAGAGCAAAAAGCCCCCGUAAUGAAAAGUAAAUAAUAAGUAUCCCGGAUUGGACUCUUGAACUUGGUGGAUGUUUGAAUUUUGUUGGAUUUAGCUUGUUCGUAAAUUUUGUGAGUUUGCACUGUAUGAUGCCUUCGAAGAUAUCUAUUAUGUCUUAAAUUUGAUUUUAUAUCAGUUAGCAUUGUUGUGGAGCACACACGCACUAUAUUAGUGAUAACAGUCUAAGAUUUGAUGAUUGAUUGGGAAAUUACUGAUUUGUUUUAAUAUGAUGUAUUAUCAUGUUUACUUGAUUUCUCUAAGGCCUG
Molecule: long non-coding RNA, 520 nt
Filed under: Panax ginseng (ginseng)
Lineage: Eukaryota; Viridiplantae; Streptophyta; Magnoliopsida; Apiales; Araliaceae
Description: long non-coding RNA (PGIN_LNC013727)
Source: RNAcentral